CCUACGGGGGGCAGCAGUGAGGAAUAUUGGUCAAUGGGCGCCAGCCUGAACCAGCCACGUCGCGUGAGGGAAGACGGUCCUAUGGAUUGUAAACCUCUUUUGUCGGGGAGCAAAAGACGCCACGCGUGGCGUUCCGAGAGUACCCGAAGAAAAAGCAUCGGCUAACUCCGUGCCAGCAGCCGCGGUAAUACGGAGGAUGCGAGCGUUAUCCGGAUUGAUUGGGUUUAAAGGGUGCGCAGGGGGAAGAGCAAGUCAGCGGUAAAAUUGAGAGGCUCAACCUCUUCGAGCCGUUGAAACUGGUUUUCUUGAGUGAGCGAGAAGUAUGCGGAAUGCGUGGUGUAGCGGUGAAAUGCAUAGAUAUCACGCAGAACUCCGAUUGCGAAGGCAGCAUACCGGCGCUCAACUGACGCUCAUGCACGAAAGUGUGGGUAUCGAACAGGAUUAGAUACCCGAGUAGUC
Molecule: ribosomal RNA, 459 nt
Filed under: uncultured bacterium
Lineage: Bacteria
Description: partial 16S ribosomal RNA
Rfam family: Bacterial small subunit ribosomal RNA
Source: RNAcentral